AUGAACGCUGGCGGCGUGCCUAAUACAUGCAAGUCGAGCGAACGGACGAGAAGCUUGCUUCUCUGAUGUUAGCGGCGGACGGGUGAGUAACACGUGGAUAACCUACCUAUAAGACUGGGAUAACUUCGGGAAACCGGAGCUAAUACCGGAUGAUAUUUUGAACCGCAUGGUUCAAAAGUGAAAGACGGUCUUGCUGUCACUUAUAGAUGGAUCCGCGCUGCAUUAGCUAGUUGGUAAGGUGACGGCUUACCAAGGCAACGAUGCAUAGCCGACCUGAGAGGGUGAUCGGCCACACUGGAACUGAGACACGGUCCAGACUCCUACGGGAGGCAGCAGUAGGGAAUCUUCCGCAAUGGGCGAAAGCCUGACGGAGCAACGCCGCGUGAGUGAUGAAGGUCUUCGGAUCGUAAAACUCUGUUAUUAGGGAAGAACAUAUGUGUAAGUAACUGUGCACAUCUUGACGGUACCUAAUCAGAAAGCCACGGCUAACUACGUG
This 496-nucleotide ribosomal RNA is filed under the name uncultured bacterium. RNAcentral's name for it is "partial 16S ribosomal RNA". It matches the Rfam family "Bacterial small subunit ribosomal RNA", at positions 29 to 507 of the family's 1533-position model. The record is from RNAcentral.